CUGCUAAUACCGGAUAAGCUCAUGAAGCGGCAUCGCUUUAUGAGGAAAGGUGGCCUCUGAAAAUGCUACCGAUUAAGGAUGGACCCGCGUCUGAUUAGCUAGUUGGUAAGGUAACGGCUUACCAAGGCAACGAUCAGUAGCCGGCCUGAGAGGGUGAUCGGCCACACUGGGACUGAGACACGGCCCAGACUCCUACGGGAGGCAGCAGUGGGGAAUCUUCCGCAAUGGGCGAAAGCCUGACGGAGCAACGCCGCGUGAAUGAAGAAGGCCUUCGGGUCGUAAAGUUCUGUCUUUAGGGAAGAAGUCUUUUUAUGUAAAUAAUGUAAAGAGGUGACGGUACCUGAGGAGGAAGCUCCGGCUAACUACGUGCCAGCAGCCGCGGUAAUACGUAGGGAGCAAGCGUUGUCCGGAAUUACUGGGCGUAAAGGGCGCGUAGGCGGGAUAUUAAGUUAGGUGUGAAAACUCUGGGCUCAACUCAGAGACUGCACUUAAAACUGGUAUUCUUGAGGACAGGAGAGGAAAGUGGAAUUCCUAGUGUAGCGGUGAAAUGCGUAGAUAUUAGGAGGAACACCAGUGGCGAAGGCGACUUUCUGGACUGUAACUGACGCUGAGGCGCGAAAGCGUGGGGAGUGAACGGGAUUAGAUACCCCGGUAAUCCCCGCUGUAAACGAUGGGUACUAGGUGUAGGAGGUAUCGACCCCUUCUGUGCCGGAGUU
Molecule: ribosomal RNA, 716 nt
Filed under: uncultured bacterium
Lineage: Bacteria
Description: bacterial SSU rRNA
Rfam family: Bacterial small subunit ribosomal RNA
Source: RNAcentral